This 483-nucleotide ribosomal RNA is filed under the name uncultured bacterium. Its description in RNAcentral is "partial 16S ribosomal RNA". It matches the Rfam family "Bacterial small subunit ribosomal RNA", at positions 28 to 506 of the family's 1533-position model. The record is from RNAcentral.
AUUGAACGCUGGCGGCAUGCUCUACACAUGCAAGUCGAACGGCAGCGCGGGCUUCGGCCUGGCGGCGAGUGGCGAACGGGUGAGUAAUGCAUCGGAACGUGCCCAGUAGUGGGGGAUAGCCCGGCGAAAGCCGGAUUAAUACCGCAUACGACCUGAGGGUGAAAGCGGGGGACCGAAAGGCCUCGCGCUAUUGGAGCGGCCGAUGUCGGAUUAGCUAGUUGGUGGGGUAAAGGCUUACCAAGGCGACGAUCCGUAGCUGGUCUGAGAGGACGACCAGCCACACUGGGACUGAGACACGGCCCAGACUCCUACGGGAGGCAGCAGUGGGGAAUUUUGGACAAUGGGGGCAACCCUGAUCCAGCCAUGCCGCGUGCGGGAAGAAGGCCUUCGGGUUGUAAACCGCUUUUGUUCGGGAAGAAAUCCUCUGGGCUAAUACCCCGGGGGGAUGACGGUACCGGAAGAAUAAGCACCGGCUAACUACGU